This is a long non-coding RNA of Lates calcarifer (barramundi perch), 3285 nucleotides long. RefSeq lists it as uncharacterized. The record is from RefSeq and is a predicted model, not a curated record. NCBI's taxonomy places the organism in Eukaryota, Metazoa, Chordata, Actinopteri, Centropomidae. The transcript is spliced from 4 exons.
ACACAGAGACUGUGCGGGUGACAUUUUGACCAAUGAAUUCAUAUGAUCCAAACAGGCCUGACACCCUUGGCUUAAAGUCACCAAACACAGAGGAGCUACUGUGAGCUACUGUCAAAUGAAGAAGGUUUUACUUUUGAGGCAUUCUGAGGCAUGAAGUCACAGCCCUGCUACAUCCAUGUUUGCUGCAGGGUACUCUGCCCUCUGUGAAAGUGCUUCAUCAUUUAACUUGAUGUUUAAAUUUCAUGUGCAUUAAUCAGGGAAUUAAAAAGAAAAUUACACAGGCUUCUCAAUUUGCUGUAAGAUUAAUGGAAGAAAAGUCCAAAAUUACUUGCAGAGCUGCAACAUGAGUCCAAAUUUCCUGUCAUGGAUCUGAAAAUAACCCCUACGCUCUGCUUGUUUUAACUGCAGCAAUAUUUUCUGGGGUUUUUGUUGAAUUUAUAGGAGCAGCACUGUAAUUACACACAGUGAUGGAUCAGGGUCCACGCAGCAGAGCACAACACAAGCAAACACGAUCCGUUUUAGGGAAAUCAGGGAGUGGGGUAAAACAAACCGUGGCAGGCGUGUCGCCCGUCACUCUGCCAGAUCUAUUAGAUGGAGACCCAGAGGAGGAGAAGAUGAGGCUGGGAAGAACAUGAGGCCAGGAAGCACCACAGCCUGUUGGAGGAGGACACAGUGUCCGUUCACUGAAGGACAUGCUGAGUCAUUCAGGGAAGUGCUGCAGUUUCACACGCUUGGAUACUUCAAUUUAAUAUUUUUGGAGAGUAUGCAUGCAUAUACUGUACAUUCAGAUACAAAGCACAUAGAGGAAUGUAAAUUCAAAGGCUGUGAUGUCUGCAGCAGAUGGUUAUACAGCGACACUGAGAAUAACCAAGUACAUUUUUCUCAAAUACUGUGCUUAAAGUGGCUGUAAUUAAUACCUGUAUGUUAGUAAUGGCUCACAUGAUUACAAAAUGCAAAGAACCAUUGUUUGAAGUGAUGAACUCUGCAGAUUCUCUCAGCUCUAUGAAGCAAGUCUGCAACUUAACUGUUCUGUUUCAUUCUCACUGCUCUCAAUAACCAUGUUUCCAGCUGCAGCGACUAGCAACAAGCCCACUGUACUAGCAAAUGAAUUUAAUAUUCAGAAAUUUCCCUCAGGGGUUUGAUAAAAUAUCAGUGUCACAGUUUAUUCAUUCAUUCUCUGCCUGCAUUUGCAAGGACUCUGCUAUCAUUUCAGAACCAGUGUCCCCUCCUCCUGACUUGCAGCCGUCUGACUCUUCCCCGCCCACCUGUUCACCUUUCUCACUCUCUGCCAGAUCAAUCCACACCAUAGCUUUCCAGCUGCCAGUGUUUAGAUUUGGCUUUUUACCUGGAUUAUCUGCCUCUUCUGUUACAAGUCCUGCCUACACCCUGACUUCACCUCCUUUGUCUUUGCCUACUUAUGCCUGUCAAGCCUAAAAAAAAGCUCCCUCUUUUACCUGAGCUGUGACAGUCAAUUUAUGAACCAUGUCUACUUUUCCAUUUAUGGAUGAUUUCAAUUCUUGCUCCACUAAAUUUCAGGGGUAAAUCAUACACUUUUUAAGGUGUAUUUUUCUUAAACAAACUAUAAAGUUGAAGUUUUCACUUUUUGGUCAGCGUAGACAAGAAAUCCAUAAAAGGAUAGCAGAGAUAGCAUUAAAAGCUCUAGAGCAGCUACUAAAUGGACCGUGAGGUGAAAUUGCUUUGUCAGUUGCCAAUAGUCGUCUUUCCUUUUUUUCUUCCCUCUGUCCUCCUUUACCCCCUGGAUUUCAUUAACUGAUGUGAAAGCAUGAACAUGACUAAAACUAGGAACGCAAAGUUUUUACAGUGAAACUAAACUCUGUUCCUCCUCACAAUCAUUUGUUUUACUUUGGAUACUUUCGACAUUUUCCUUCUGAUUCUUGCUUUUAUCUAAUUGUUUACUUGUCAUUUAAUACAGAUAAAAGUAACAGUGGAAUCCUUUUGCUGAAAGAUUUGAGGACUUCUUCCACUGGGGUCACAUCAAUUCACAUGCUAUCUCUCUCUUUUCUCCCUCAGACACCCAGGGUUUUUCCAGGGUCAAUGUCUGCACUCUUUAUCUCUGCUCGCCUUUGAUGCUCCCAUUACCUCAUACUCCUCCAGUGAUCUGAGCCAAACAGGGAAACACUGGAGCAUCUGUGGUUUGCUGUGGUUGCUGGGGGGCGAUUAAUGGUCUCUGGAUUGAGGAUUUAUCUCCACAUCAGAGGAACAGUUUUUGGGGAAAUUAUUUGAUAUGCCUGGACUGAAGGCUCCUGAACACAACCAUGCUGCUGACACAGCCCUGCCCCUUCUUCUUCUCCGGCCUCGGCACCUCACCUGCAAGUGCUCUGCUAAUUAGUACAGUCUGCAACAGGGAUGAGGAAACAUGGUGUUGCUGGACAGAUGAGCGGCCUGUCACGAAGACAAUUUCCCAUACAGACAGAAGAGGAGGGAGCUGAGGAGUCAUGUCAUCGCUCGUCCUCCUCCAUGAGUGACUACAAACUCGUCACGGCGAUUUAGCUCAGCGCCCCUCCUCGUUUGUUUUCCAUCUCGCUCUGGCAGCGUGCACACUGGGUCCAUUGUAUGCAGAGACUCUACCAAUUUUACCGGAUACUCCACAAUAAGGGAGGCCUGCUGUGACCUCAGUGGGUGCGGCCUUGGAUGCAUACAAACUGACAUGCAGGAGUCCUACUGUAUGGAUGAAGGACAUGUAAACUAAAAAUAUGACGUACAGAAAGACUUCAGGCUAAUAGAAAGACUAGAAGUAAAUUCAACACGUUAACAGCUAAAUGUUUGCCCUCUUGUCCCUCUGCUGCAGCUGAUAAUCAUUUUCUAAGCAUAUUUGUGUGCACAGUGGCUCCAGGCCUAGUAUUAGGUCAUUGUUUUUAUAUCUGAGCUCAAUUAAAGAUAAGAAUUAGGUGGAGUUACUCAUGAAUGCUGCUGCAUUCACAGACAUUCAAUCAUGCAUAUGUCGGGAUUACUUAAUGGCCUUCUCUCUCACAGAAUGGACGGUUUAAAAGUCGUCUUCUGUUUCAUAUAAACUGCUGUGGGUCAGGAGUCAAACAUAUUGCCCUCACAUCAUAUUCACGUGUUGAGUAUUUGAUUAAACAGUGUUGACACAUUUGUGAACGGCUGGAACAAAGCAACAUUCUUUCUUUUUCUUUUUUUUCUUUUUUGGCUCUGGACACUGAUUAUAUUAUCACAUUUUAAGCCGUCUGAUUUACUUAUCUAACAUAUUUGGUGCAACAUUAGCAUUAAUGUGAAGUUGUUUGUGUCCACUUGUUCUAGUCUAAU